UCAAUGCUGAGUGAGAUGCUGCACAGCCCUACCAGGGGAGGACAGACAUGAAAUAAAUUCGAAGUUAUUUCAAGCUGUAUCUGAGAGAUGCUGUAUCUGCACAGCUGCCAUCACCUCUCUGCACAGCUCAGCUCAGGGUCGAGUCUGUCACAGCAGUCUCUGGUGCUGGGAGCUGGUCAACAGGAGCUGUGGAUGGCCGAAGAGCUGCUGCUGACACGAGGACAAAGAGUUUAGAACCAAAGAUGUCCUGAUGACAGAAGUGCUCUCAGAGGAAGAGGUCACCACAUCCAACUUUCCUUUUAUGUAAGACCAAAAUGUAAAACCCAUGCUGCUACGAUUUGGGUUUAGCUGUCAUUUUAAGUACCGCUUAAAUCUGUGGUCCGCAGAUUUCAUUCCCAGGAGGUUCCACGUUGCCUCCCAGCUGCUGUUCCUUGGUUUCCUCUUUGUGGGGUAUAGUCAGGGACCGGGUAAUUGCAGGUUCUGCAAUGCGUACGUUGGCUGCGUUCAGCAGGGAUAACACUUCCCUGCUCCAAAACAGAGUGGUUUCUGUGGUAAACGAAGGCUAUGAAUAGCAGUUGGUGUCUGGACACAUGCUUAAAAUUGGUUCUUGGUGAGACACUUUGACAUAAUGGACCACAGGGUUUUGUUACAUCCUAUAAAACAAUACCGAUCCAAUUUAAGGCCCAUGGGAACCUUUCCACUGGCUGUGCAAGGCUUUGGUUACUCGCUCUGACCAUUUGUAACUUCACAUUGUGUUGCUGCUGCCGUAGCUCACGCAGCUUGCUUCACUUACCUUAUGUGAACGCUGUACUCGUUACUCUGCACGAGCCGGGAGAGAAGC
This 841-nucleotide long non-coding RNA is filed under the name Gallus gallus (chicken). Its description in RNAcentral is "long non-coding RNA NONGGAT008012". Lineage: Eukaryota; Metazoa; Chordata; Aves; Galliformes; Phasianidae. The record is from RNAcentral.